This 813-nucleotide ribosomal RNA is filed under the name uncultured bacterium. Its description in RNAcentral is "bacterial SSU rRNA". It matches the Rfam family "Bacterial small subunit ribosomal RNA", at positions 28 to 808 of the family's 1533-position model. The record is from RNAcentral.
GACGAACGCUGGCGGCGUGCUUAACACAUGCAAGUCGAACGAAAAGAGGGAAAGAGCUUGCUCUUUCCGGAAUUGAGUGGCAAACGGGUGAGUAACACGUAAACAACCUGCCUUCAGGAUGGGGACAACAGACGGAAACGACUGCUAAUACCGAAUAAGUUCCAAGAGCCGCAUGGCCCAUGGAAGAAAAGGUGGCCUCUACCUGUAAGCUAUCGCCUGAAGAGGGGUUUGCGUCUGAUUAGCUGGUUGGAGGGGUAACGGCCCACCAAGGCGACGAUCAGUAGCCGGUCUGAGAGGAUGAACGGCCACACUGGAACUGAGACACGGUCCAGACUCCUACGGGAGGCAGCAGUGGGGAAUCUUCCGCAAUGGGCGAAAGCCUGACGGAGCAACGCCGCGUGAGUGAUGACGGCCUUCGGGUUGUAAAACUCUGUGAUCCGGGACGAAAAGGCAGAGUGCGAAGAACAAACUGCAUUGACGGUACCGGAAAAGCAAGCCACGGCUAACUACGUGCCAGCAGCCGCGAUAAUACGUAGGUGGCAAGCGUUGUCCGGAAUUAUUGGGCGUAAAGCGCGCGCAGGCGGCUUCCCAAGUCCCUCUUAAAAGUGCGGGGCUUAACCCCGUGAUGGGAAGGAAACUGGGAAGCUGGAGUAUCGGAGAGGAAAGUGGAAUUCCUAGUGUAGCGGUGAAAUGCGUAGAGAUUAGGAAGAACACCGGUGGCGAAGGCGACUUUCUGGACGAAAACUGACGCUGAGGCGCGAAAGCGCGGGGAGCAAACAGGAUUAGAUACCCUGGUAGUCCACGCCGUAAACG